This 751-nucleotide ribosomal RNA is filed under the name Hister punctifer. Its description in RNAcentral is "SSU rRNA". It matches the Rfam family "Eukaryotic small subunit ribosomal RNA", at positions 417 to 1123 of the family's 1831-position model. Lineage: Eukaryota; Metazoa; Arthropoda; Insecta; Coleoptera; Histeridae. The record is from RNAcentral.
CAAGGAAGGCAGCAGGCGCGCAAAUUACCCACUCCCGGCACGGGGAGGUAGUGACGAAAAAUAACGAUACGGGACUCAUCCGAGGCCCCGUAAUCGGAAUGAGUACACUUUAAAUCCUUUAACGAGGAUCAAUUGGAGGGCAAGUCUGGUGCCAGCAGCCGCGGUAAUUCCAGCUCCAAUAGCGUAUAUUAAAGUUGUUGCGGUUAAAAAGCUCGUAGUCGAAGCUGUGUCUUGCGCCGCCGGUACAUCGCUCGCGGUGUUUACUGGCGUGUCGCAGGACGUCCUGCCGGUGGACUUAGCCCUUUCGGGGGCGGUCCAACUUCAGCAAUCCCAUCGCGGUGCUCUUCACUGAGUGUCGAGGUGGGCCGGCACGUUUACUUUGAACAAAUUAGAGUGCUUAAAGCAGGCCAAAAAUUUGCCUGAAUACUGUGUGCAUGGAAUAAUAGAAUAGGACCUCGGUUCUAUUUUGUUGGUUUUCGGAACCCCGAGGUAAUGAUUAAUAGGAACGGAUGGGGGCAUUCGUAUUGCGACGUUAGAGGUGAAAUUCUUGGAUCGUCGCAAGACGGACCUAAGCGAAAGCAUUUGCCAAAAACGUUUUCAUUGAUCAAGAACGAAAGUUAGAGGUUCGAAGGCGAUCAGAUACCGCCCUAGUUCUAACCAUAAACGAUGCCAGCUAGCGAUCCGCCGACGUUCCUCCGAUGACUCGGCGGGCAGCUUCCGGGAAACCAAAGCUUUUGGGUUCCGGGGGAAU